GUUUUGUGCAAGUCAUGUGUCGGUGUGCGACGGGUUUUGUACCCACGUUUAUUAUUUUUUUGAAUAUUUUGUUUUUUGCGGUUUUAUAAGCACUUAUUAAACGACUCCGUUUAUACCAAGUUGGUUCUCCUGCACCUGACUUCCCUGCCACCAACACGCACCCAUUGCAGGUGGUUAAAACAACAUACCCAAGUGGGGUCCUUGCUCUGUAGAAUACCUAUCAGUCUAGAAGGCCUUCAGAAUUCCUGUGGGUUCUUAACCAAAGGAAACCUCCUCAAGGAUUCCACAGUCAGAACAGGCUGUUAAGAGAACCACGGACAGGAAUAAGAACAUGCUGUUAAGAGAACCACGGACAGGAUAAGAACAGGCUGUUAAGAGAACCACGGACAGGAUAAGAACAUGCUGUUCAGAGAACCACGGACAGGAUAAGAACAUGCUGUUCAGAGAACCACGGACAGGAUAAGAACAUGCUGUUCAGAGAACCACGGACAGAAUAAGAACAUGCUGUUCAGAGAACCACAGACAGAAUAAGAACAUGCUGUUCAGAGAACCACAGACAGGAUAAGAACAUGCUGUUCAGAGAACCACAGACAGGAUAAGAACAUGCUGUUCAGAGAACCACGGACAGAAUAAGAACGGGCUGUUCAGAGAACCACGGACAGGAUAAGAACGGGCUGUUCAGAGAACCACAAAUAGGCACUGGAUAACAAUGGAGCUUCCACUCAGUGUAAAUGAUCUCCUCUCUCUCUCUCUCUCUCUCGUUGCUGAAUGAUCCUACUUCAUACUACCACUACUAAUCCUCUUCAGCACGUCUUCCUAUUCUCUGCCACACUGGUUGUAUGAUAUCGAGAUUCAUCUACAAGCCGGUGAUGCCCAAGCCAGUAAACUUGAAGUGGUUGGCAUAUUCAGGACACCACUCAAGUCUUGAUCACUGCAGCAGUGGCGAUACAUAGACUUUGGCGCAUUGUCUCAAGUGGUUCAGCCAGGGCCGAACGCCACCACUCUGCCAGCUCCUUCAGGACUAUGUGUGGGUGCAGGACCAGCUCUCUAAUCAGCUCUCUUCUUUGGGUUCCCAGAGAAAUAUGAGUGAGAGGGAGAAGACAGGUCGUCGUCUUUGGAUGUUCCUGUGCUGCGGUGCUGUGUGUCAGGCUCACCUAGGUUGCCUCCCUCAGUAGAGCUGCUUUUAUCCCCCGUGUGCGCGUGUUCUCGUGUUCCUGUGUGUGAUUUUUAUCCCCGCUCUGUGGCCAUCUAUCCCCCCCGGCAGUCACUCCACUAAUUGGUUGCUCCUCUGAAGUGCCAGUACUGUUAUCUUUCAAUAUCACAGAACGGUUCAUUAGAGAGAGGUAACGUCUCGGCAAGGAUGAACUUUCCCCAUAUUUCUUAGACUAGAUUAAAACAUAUGACUGGACUGGUUCUGGCAUGGUUUUAUAUUAGGGUGCUGGUAUAGUACACUGAAUAUUGUUAUAGUCGUAACAUUACAUAGAAGUACUAAUAUGGUUACUUAGGGUUUUUCUAUAGGCCUAUUAGUGUAUGGUUUGUACAGUGUGCAGGGCAGCGUUUCCCAAACUCAGUCC
This is a long non-coding RNA of Oncorhynchus tshawytscha (Chinook salmon), 1574 nucleotides long. Lineage: Eukaryota; Metazoa; Chordata; Actinopteri; Salmoniformes; Salmonidae. The record is from Ensembl.